GACAAUCCUAACAUAAAUCAAUUUCAAAAUUGACCCAAAAUUAAAAAUCCCCAAUUCAAAUUAUUUGAAUUUGAGCAAUCUCUGCAGUUUUAAUCAAGACCGUUGAUCAUAUAACGAUCAACGGUCAAGAUUACAUCAAUUUGUUUUCCUUUUCAAUAACAGCAAAAACUAAACCCUAAUCCUAUUCUCCAAGACAAUAAUAGCCGCUCCUUCUCCCUCUACACCAAAAGCCACCAUCACCGUCUGGCCCUUUUUCCUUUCUGUCAUUGCCUCGCCUCUCUAAAACCUCCGACGAACCGACGCCACAACACUCAACUGCCGCCGCCGCCUCAUCCUCUUCUCCAUCUCAAGCCGCGAUCAACAACAGUACCGUAACGCCGCUCUACUGUCGACUGGUGUCCAGCUAAACCAGGUCACCGACGAGCCACUAAUCGUCGCCUUCCUCCCCAUCGUUGCCUCCCAAUAGUUAAACCAGCGGCGCAACCACCAACGGCCAUCUAACAGCUGCCAUGCAGCUGUUCACCAACCCUCGUCGCCGUAGCGAUAGCCAAACCAAUGCCGCCUCAUUUGUCGGAAAAUGAUGGGUUCUUGGGAAUCCAUCCCAGGUUUUGUGUUCUGGAUAUGAUGUAACUUGAUUCUUCAAUCUAUGUGUUAUUAUCUAAUACAUUUGCUGGUUUGCAAAACUGAGAUGGUAUUGGAACUAUGAGGGAAAUGAUGCAUAGCAGGGAUGUCAAGAAAGUUUCUGAAUCCAGUUGGUUUUAAAUAUCAAGAAGGCUUUAAAUGUCAAGAAAAAGAAUCCUAUGGUGUAAUUUGGAUUCUUCUAUUUUGUAUGUAGUUUUUGUGUGUGCAAUUUAUUUGAUUAUAAUGUUUUGUCUCGCAAGAAUUGCAUGAGCUGUAUUUGGCCUUUUUGUUUUUGAAUUUUUUCUAUUGGUACUAUUCUCGGCUCGUGAUUGUAAAUAAAUCAUCUCAAAUUUAAGUGA
Long non-coding RNA from Capsicum annuum, 980 nucleotides. RefSeq lists it as uncharacterized. The transcript has 2 exons. Lineage: Eukaryota; Viridiplantae; Streptophyta; Magnoliopsida; Solanales; Solanaceae. The record is from RefSeq and is a predicted model, not a curated record.